Molecule: ribosomal RNA, 460 nt
Filed under: uncultured bacterium
Lineage: Bacteria
Description: partial 16S ribosomal RNA
Rfam family: Bacterial small subunit ribosomal RNA
Source: RNAcentral
CCUACGGGUGGCAGCAGUGAGGAAGAUUGGUCAAUGGACGAGAGUCUGAACCAGCCAAGUAGCGUGAAGGAUGACUGCCCUAGGGGUUGUAAACUUCUUUUAUAAAGGAAUAAAACGAGGCACGUGUGCCUUUUUGCAUGUACUUUAUGAAUAAGGAUCGGCUAACUCCGGUCCAGCAGCCGCGGGAAUACGGAGGAUCCGAGCGUUAUCCGGAUUUAUUGGGUUUAAAGGGAGCGUAGAUGGGUUGUUAAGUCAGGUGUGAAAGUUUGCGGCUCAACCGUAAAAUUGCAAUUGAUACUGGCAGUCUGGAGUACAGUUGAGGUAGGCGGAAUUCGUGGUGUAGCGGUGAAAUGCUUAGAUAUCACGAAGAACCCCGAUUGCGAAGGCAGCUUACUAAACUGUGACUGACAUUGAUGCUCGAAAGUGUGGGUAUCAAACAGGAUUAGAUACCCCUGUAGUC